RNAcentral lists this ribosomal RNA (733 nucleotides) under uncultured soil bacterium. RNAcentral's name for it is "bacterial SSU rRNA". It matches the Rfam family "Bacterial small subunit ribosomal RNA", at positions 31 to 760 of the family's 1533-position model. The record is from RNAcentral.
GAACGCUGGCGGCAUGCCUUACACAUGUAAGUCGAACGGCAGCGCGGGGCAACCUGGCGGCGAGUGGCGAACGGGUGAGUAAUAUAUCGGAACGUGCCCUGGAGUGGGGGAUAACGCAGCGAAAGUUGCGCUAAUACCGCAUACGAUCUAAGGAUGAAAGCGGGGGAUUCGCAAGAACCUCGUGCUCCUGGAGCGGCCGAUAUCUGAUUAGCUAGUUGGUGGGGUAAAGGCCUACCAAGGCAUCGAUCAGUAGCUGGUCUGAGAGGACGACCAGCACACUGGAACUGAGACACGGUCCAGACUCCUACGGGAGGCAGCAGUGGGGAAUUUUGGACAAUGGGCGAAAGCCUGAUCCAGCAAUGCCGCGUGAGUGAAGAAGGCCUUCGGGUUGUAAAGCUCUUUUGUCAGGGAAGAAACGGUAUGGGCUAAUAUCCCGUACUAAUGACGGUACCUGAAGAAUAAGCACCGGCUAACUACGUGCCAGCAGCCGCGGUAAUACGUAGGGUGCAAGCGUUAAUCGGAAUUACUGGGCGUAAAGCGUGCGCAGGCGGUUUUGUAAGUUUGUCGUGAAAGCCCCGGGCUCAACCUAGGAAUUGCGAUGAAGACUGCAAGGCUUGAAUCUGGCAGAGGGGGGUAGAAUUCCACGUGUAGCAGUGAAAUGCGUAGAGAUGUGGAGGAACACCGAUGGCGAAGGCAGCCCCCUGGGUCAAGAUUGACGCUCAUGCACGAAAGC